UACGGAGGAUGCGAGCGUUAUCCGGAUUUAUUGGGUUUAAAGGGUGCGCAGGCGGAUUUUUAAGUCAGCGGUCAAAUCGUGGGGCUCAACCCCAUCCAGCCGUUGAAACUGGGGAUCUAGAGUGUGCGAGAGGUAUGCGGAAUUCUUGGUGUAGGGGUAAAAUCCGUAGAUAUCAAGAGGAAUACUCAUUGCGAAGGCGACCUACUGGAACAUUACUGACGCUCAUGCACGAAAGCGUGGGGAGCAAACAGG
Molecule: ribosomal RNA, 252 nt
Filed under: uncultured Bacteroidales bacterium
Lineage: Bacteria; Pseudomonadati; Bacteroidota; Bacteroidia; Bacteroidales
Description: partial 16S ribosomal RNA
Rfam family: Bacterial small subunit ribosomal RNA
Source: RNAcentral